UCAUGGGCGAGAGCCUGAACCAGCCNAGUUAGCGUGAAGGAUGACUGCCCUAUGGGUUGUAAACUUCUUUUAUAAAGGAAUAAAGUCGGGUAUGGAUACCCGUUUGCAUGUACUUUAUGAAUAAGGAUCGGCUAACUCCGUGCCAGCAGCCGCGGUAAUACGGAGGAUCCGAGCGUUAUCCGGAUUUAUUGGGUUUAAAGGGAGCGUAGAUGGAUGUUUAAGUCAGUUGUGAAAGUUUGCGGCUCAACCGUAAAAUUGCAGUUGAUACUGGAUAUCUUGAGUGCAGUUGAGGCAGGCGGAAUUCGUGGUGUAGCGGUGAAAUGCUUAGAUAUCACGAAGAACUCCGAUUGCGAAGGCAGCCUGCUAAGCUGCAACUGACAUUGAGGCUCGAAAGUGUGGGUAUCAAACAGGAUUAGAUACCCUGGUAGUCCAAGGGCGAAUUC
Molecule: ribosomal RNA, 443 nt
Filed under: uncultured bacterium
Lineage: Bacteria
Description: SSU rRNA
Rfam family: Bacterial small subunit ribosomal RNA
Source: RNAcentral